This 1089-nucleotide ribosomal RNA is filed under the name uncultured bacterium. RNAcentral's name for it is "bacterial SSU rRNA". It matches the Rfam family "Bacterial small subunit ribosomal RNA", at positions 385 to 1533 of the family's 1533-position model. The record is from RNAcentral.
GAUCCAGCCAUGCCGCGUGCAGGAAGACGGCCCUAUGGGUUGUAAACUGCUUUUGUAUGGGAGCAAUAAGGUCUAUGCGUAGACUGAUGAGAGUACCAUACGAAUAAGCAUCGGCUAACUCCGUGCCAGCAGCCGCGGUAAUACGGGGGAUGCAAGCGUUAUCCGGGAUUUAUUGGGUUUAAAGGGUGCGUAGGCGGUUUGAUAAGUCAGCGGUGAAAUAUUUCCGCUUAACUGAAAGGGUGCCGUUGAUACUGUCAGGCUUGAAUAUGGUUGCUGUGGGUGGAAUGUGUGGUGUAGCGGUGAAAUGCUUAGAUAUCACACAGAAUAUCGAUUGCGAAGGCAGCUCACAAAGCCAUUAUUGACGCUGAUGCACGAAAGUGUGGGGGAUCAAACAGGAUUAGAUACCCUGGUAGUCCACACUGUAAACGAUGAUAACUCGCUGUCCGGCGAUACACAGUCGGUAGCCAAGCGAAAGCGAUAAGUUAUCCACCUGGGGAGUACGACCGCAAGGUUGAAACUCAAAGGAAUUGACCGGGGGCCCGCACAAGCGGAAGGAACAUGUGGUUUAAUUUCGAUGAUACGCGAGGAACCUUACCCGGGCUCGAACGGUGCAGGAAUACGUCAGAGAUGAUGUAGCUAGCAAUAGUCUGUAUCGAGUGCUGCAUGGUGUCGUCAGCUCCGUGCCGUGAGGGGUGUCGGCUUAGUGCCAUAACGAGCGCCACCCUUGUCGUUAUUUGCCAUCAGGUCAAGCUGAGGACUCUGGGCAGAGACUGCCCCCCGUAAGGUGUGAGGGAAGGGGGAUGACGUCAAAUCAGCACGCUUUUACGUCGGGGCGACACCCGUGUUACAAUGGUAGGUACCAGAGGGCACCUACCCCGCAAUGGGGUGCGAAUUCCCAAAGGCCUAUCUCAGUUCGGAUCGAAAGUCUGCCAACUCCGACUCCGGGAAGUUGGAUUCCCUAGUAAUCCGCCAUCCAGCCAGGCGCCGGUGAAUACGUUCCCGGGGCCUGGUACACCCCGACAUCGGAAUCCGCGGGUACCGAGCUCGAUCACUGCGUCGUUACACGUCGUGACUGGAACCCKCYGGCGA